UGGCUGAGUGUCUCUGUCCUAGGAACGUACUAGCUUGCUAGUACCAACGUCUAAUAACUUUUGCUGAAAUGUCUCGAAAAGCAAUGAAAGUCGUUGUUGAAUUACAGCUCAAGGCGGUAUCGUGUCCUGGGGUUCAUUUGACAGCCAAGGAUGACGUCUACGUCAGUGUGUGCUUCUUGAGCCAGUACUACAAGUCCUUGUGUCUUCCGCCUGUAUUCCCUCUACUGUUCCGAGAGCAGAUGAUUUUUGAAAAGGUAUUCCGCUAUGCUGUUGACCCGGGAGAUGUAGCAGAGAUGCUGGAAUGUGAAACCGUCAGAGUUGAAUUGGUACAGCUGAUCCCCCCAGUGGGAGAGGCCCUGGCCUGCUUCGAGGAGGACACCAGGCGCUUCCUGUUCCCAGAGCCCAGACUGGUUCCCGCCUCCUCUGGAGUGGACAGAGAGGUGCUCAUGACGCGCUCUAAGAGCUUCCCUGGCAUUGCUCCAAGGUUAGAGUUCUCCACUAGAACAACUAUCGGCGAGUGCUCCGCGAACACCGAGGUUGACAGCGCCCAUCUCCGCUCUCCAAUGAGGACAGGGGUGCCAAAAAAACACCCUAAAAGGUCCCGAAAAGGUCAUAUGGGAGUUUGGUCCAGUGCUCGACGGGCAUCUCUGAUACCCAGGUCACGCUCCCUCUCCCCAUAUAAAGCCAGCCAGGUGGAUGGUUGUCAUGACAACGUGGGGCGGCUGGCACAGCUCUCCCUGGGUUCCUGCUGGGAUUUAGACAAGGAGUUAUCACCCUGCCACAUGAGGGAGUCCCGUCUUGGGUCGGCCCACUCCCCUGACCCCUCCCCGGUCAUGGCCAGACGCGCCCUGACCAACGGCUUAGCCCCUGGCCUCCCGCGCUCCCCCUCCUCUGACACAGACGAUCUCCUGGACUUCCCACCGGGACCAAACCGAAGAAGUUCCCUGGCUGAUGGGGAGGGAUCGUCCCCGGAACCUACACUCAGCCCUUACGUGCUUUGUCGCUCCUACGGAGAAAGCUCGACCCAAAACGGGUUUGUUCCUCGAAGGGCUGAUGUCUUUGACAAAUGUUUUUCAUCUCGCUUGGUUUUUAUCGUGGGCAGGUUUUUCCUGGCAGCAGUUGAGCCUGACCCUACCCUGAUAUUUAUCUGUCCUCCUUCGGACGUUGGACAGGUCACGCCCCAGCCCCCAGGUGACAUGGGAGGACGUUCAGCAGCGUGUCCGAGGACUCCUUACGUCCCCCAGAGCGAUGCAUCGGCUGGCCCAUGGGGCCACAGACUCUGAGAUAGAUGAGGUUUUAGCCCGUAGGUCCAUCUCCCCUCAGCGAGGUCCACUCUAGAGGAGCGGGGAACGCCCUGGGAAGGUAACCCGCUUUUACAAAACAUCUUGAAGCUUUAUCUUCUAUCCAACCAGUGAAGAAUUGAAAGUGUCUAUUAAUUUGUACAUUAAUUUAAUUCAAUAAUAAUGCAAUUGUUUACUGCGUGUGUAUGUUGCAGUUAAAUGAAAUUAAGGUGGGCUAUUGAUAGAUUAAAGUGAGUUCAGAAGAAUUUGUAAUUAUAUUAAGACUAAUGUUCUAUAUGUUUAUGCAUUGUAUUAUUAUUUACUUAACACACAAACCAUACAAAUGUUUGUCAUUAAGCCUAGUUAUGUUGUGUGGACAUUGUUAUACAGCUUACUACAACAAAACUCAUUACACAGCCUGUGUCUACUAGACAUUUAAAUCUAUUAUCUAUGGUACAUUCACAUUAUACUCUUACUCCAGGUCAGAGUGAUCAGAAGAGUGCAACCUUCACAACAUGCCAGACAUUAGUUCACGGCAGACUGGAUGUCAUGGACAUGGCUAAAAAACAAUAACUGCUCUACUCAGUGUAUUUCUAUCUGAACAUGAUGCAUUGUUGCACCUUGCUGAAUGAACCCAUGGCCACUUUUCAUCAGACAUACUGUCUUCGUAGAGUCCCCAGGUGCUCUAUACAAAAGGCUAUUUCAGGGGAAUUAUGGGUAGCACAGUGCUGCGUCGUGUCCUCGCUCAGGGGUAAUAGCCUUCUACAGUAGGUCAUUAUAUAUGACUACUGUGAUUGGUCGGGUGCCUCAGGAACAUUGUGAUCUAUCUCUACUUCUGUCCCUAUAACCUGUGAUAGUUCCAGAACUGGACUGGAUGAUCUUAAAGGCCUGGCUGUGGAAAAAUACUGCGACAGCAGGAUUCCAAAUGGUUAGCGAAGGCAUUCAUUUAGAUAAUUAAGAGGGUGUACUUUACAGUAGCCGUUCUCAUUACUAAAGUGAAGUAUGUACUUCCCAUUUUCAGGUGCUGGACUCAUUUAUUCUUUUUGCCGUAUAAGUAAUUUCCACAACUCUGUAAUUCUCAAUUCUCAAUCAUUUCCAGAACAACUCAAAAGAACAAAAGCCCAUUUUGUAUUUGUCUUUAUUAGCUUGCAGUUGGAUACAUCUAGAAUGUUGAUUUGUAUGCUGAUGUGAUUGGUGGGCUGGGUACACUCUAGCCAUUGGUUGUUGUUGAUAUUGUCAUAAUGUGACCCUGAAAUGUACAGAAGAACCAGGUUCACCGACUUCAUUUUGAAUCGUAUCAAUCAGCUGUUAUUUCACAUUGCCCCUGAUUUGCUUUCCCCUGCUGAAAUGUCUUGCUCACCUUCAGAAAUUCUAUUUAAUAAAAUUGUCUUGGGGCCCAAAUUUAGCCUACAUGCUAAUGUUCUGGAACAAAAACAUGUAGUAGAGGUGGAUUGCAAUACUGAGUAUCAGUUUUUAAUCAUCCCAGGAUGAAAAACAUAAAAUACUUUAGAUGGGGAUUAUCAAAAUAUUUAAGAAUUUUUAUGUUCAAAUGACCUGAAGGCUCAGAAGAAUCUCUAAAGUGCAUAAAAAUUAUGAAUUUGUUGUACCAAGCAAUUAUUACAUAACACCUUUUUAUAAAGUGUUUAGAACUCAUUAUUCUUAGAGGGCUUUGUACCAAAUAUGUAUACUACUAAGGUUUCUUGUUUGAUUUUGGAAUUUUACUAACUGUGUUGAACAUAAUAACUUGAUUCUACAGCCAGAUUUUCUACAACAUUGCCUCAAAGGCUCCUCAAUUCUUUAUUGUUUCUCAUACACUGUAAAAGUUCACUUUAAAAGUCCAUCUGAAAUCCAGAAGUCAUCCACAAGUAAUUCACGUAGCGGCCCUUUACAGGGUUAAACCGUUAUCUCUAGCAAUGCAUUAUGAAAAUAUUUCCAAAUAUAUCACAGUAAUCGGCUACGGCGCAAUUAUUGUCACCUUGUUAUUGUGCCCUUCAACUCUAAAGGCCAUUGGUCACUUGAAAAAGGACAUACAGCAAGUCUAUGUUCAUUAAAUGUUUUCCACUGUAUUCCUUUGACAUAUUGUUUCAUGCAAUUAAAAUAAUUAACAAAGA
RNA transcript from Esox lucius (northern pike), 3391 nucleotides. It is a transcript of the gene named spermatogenesis associated 6-like, with no coding region annotated. The record is from RefSeq and is a predicted model, not a curated record. The transcript has 10 exons. NCBI's taxonomy places the organism in Eukaryota, Metazoa, Chordata, Actinopteri, Esociformes, Esocidae.